UGGCUCAGGAUUAACGCUAGCGACAGGCCUAACACAUGCAAGUCGAGGGGCAUCGGGGCGAGGAGCAAUCCUUGCCGCCGGCGACCGGCGCACGGGUGAGUAACGCGUAUGCGACCUGCCCGUUGCAGGGGGAUAAUCGGGAGAAAUCCCGUCUAAUACCGCGUAACGCCGCGGGGCUGCAUGGCCCUGCGGCCAAAGGGAGCGAUUCCGGCAACGGAUGGGCAUGCGUGACAUUAGCUAGUUGGCGGGGCAACGGCCCACCAAGGCGACGAUGUCUAGGGGUUCUGAGAGGAAGGUCCCCCACACUGGUACUGAGACACGGACCAGACUCCUACGGGAGGCAGCAGUGAGGAAUAUUGGUCAAUGGGCGCGAGCCUGAACCAGCCAAGUCGCGUGAGGGAUGACGGCCCUACGGGUUGUAAACCUCUUUUGUCGGGGAGCAAAUUCCGCCACGUGUGGCGGAGUCGAGAGUACCCGAAGAAAAAGCAUCGGCUAACUCCGUGCCAGCAGCCGCGGUAAUACGGAGGAUGCGAGCGUUAUCCGGAUUUAUUGGGUUUAAAGGGUGCGUAGGCGGACUGUCAAGUCAGCGGUAAAAUACGGGGGCUCAACCUCCGCCCGCCGUUGAAACUGACGGUCUUGAGUGGGCGAGAAGUAUGCGGAAUGCGUGGUGUAGCGGUGAAAUGCAUAGAUAUCACGCAGAACUCCGAUUGCGAAGGCAGCAUACCGGCGCCCAACUGACGCUGAAGCACGAAAGCGUGGGUAUCGAACAGGAUUAGAUACCCUGGUAGUCCACGCAGUAAACGAUGAAUACUAGCUGUCCGGGGCGAAUGAGCCCUGGGUGCACAGCGAAAGCGUUAAGUAUUCCACCUGGGGAGUACGCCGGCAACGGUGAAACUCAAAGGAAUUGACGGGGGCCCGCACAAGCGGAGGAACAUGUGGUUUAAUUCGAUGAUACGCGAGGAACCUUACCCGGGCUCAAACGACACAGGAACGUACCUGAAAGGGUUCGGCUCUACGGAGCCUGUGUCGAGGUGCUGCAUGGUUGUCGUCAGCUCGUGCCGUGAGGUGUCGGCUUAAGUGCCAUAACGAGCGCAACCCCCAUCGACAGUUGCUAACAGGUUAGGCUGAGGACUCUGUCGAGACUGCCGGCGCAAGCUGCGAGGAAGGCGGGGAUGACGUCAAAUCAGCACGGCCCUUACGUCCGGGGCGACACACGUGUUACAAUGGCAGGUACAGCGGGAAGCCACCUGGCGACAGGGAGCGGAACCCGAAAGCCUGUCUCAGUUCGGAUUGGAGUCUGCAACCCGACUCCAUGAAGCUGGAUUCGCUAGUAAUCGCGCAUCAGCCACGGCGCGGUGAAUACGUUCCCGGGCCUUGUACACACCGCCCGUCAAGCCAUGGAAGCCGGGGGUGCCUGAAGUGCGCUGCCGCGAGGAGCGCCCUAGGGUAAAACCGGUGACUGGGGCUAAGUCGUAACAAGGUA
Molecule: ribosomal RNA, 1483 nt
Filed under: uncultured bacterium
Lineage: Bacteria
Description: 16S ribosomal RNA
Rfam family: Bacterial small subunit ribosomal RNA
Source: RNAcentral